RNAcentral lists this ribosomal RNA (378 nucleotides) under uncultured soil bacterium. RNAcentral's name for it is "bacterial SSU rRNA". It matches the Rfam family "Bacterial small subunit ribosomal RNA", at positions 26 to 393 of the family's 1533-position model. The record is from RNAcentral.
AGAGUGAACGCUGGCGGUAGGCCUAACACAUGCAAGUCGAACGGCAGCACGGUAAGAGCUUGCUCUUAUGGGUGGCGAGUGGCGGACGGGUGAGGAAUACACCGGAAUCUACCUUUUGGUGGGGGAUAACGUAGGGAAACUUACGCUAAUACCGCAUACGCCCUUCGGGGGAAAGCCGGGGACCAGCAAUGGCCUGGCGCUGAUAGAUGAGCCGAUGUCGGAUUAGCUAGUUGGUGAGGUAAUGGCUCACCAAGGCGACGAUCCGUAGCUGGUCUGAGAGGAUGAUCAGCCACACUGGAACUGAGACACGGUCCAGACUCCUACGGGAGGCAGCAGUGGGGGAAUAGUUGGACAAGUGGGCGCAAGCCUGAUCCAGCC